This is a long non-coding RNA of Nothoprocta perdicaria, 337 nucleotides long. RefSeq lists it as uncharacterized. The record is from RefSeq and is a predicted model, not a curated record. The transcript has 3 exons. Lineage: Eukaryota; Metazoa; Chordata; Aves; Tinamiformes; Tinamidae.
GUAAAGAGUUUAUCAUGGAAAUGUCAUAACUCAGCCUUUCCUUUGUUGGCAUUAGCAUCCUGCAAGUCCCAAGUUGCUUGAGUAGAUCUACUUGCUGCACAGCUGGCUGACAUCUACCAGCAUUUAUUGACGUCCUCGCUGAGAACUGACAUGAACAGCGCAGCCUGAGACGCAGACAGCUCUGCAAGCAGGGCCGGCUCCUCAGGGUAAUAAAUGACCCCGGCACCAUGGGUGAACAGGAGCUUUGGGGGCUGCUCAGACAGYGCUGCGCUUCCUGCAGUGGCACCAGAACAGCAGUGCAGUUUAUAACAGAGAAAAGAAGAAGAGGAAAGAGCAA